AAGGAAAAAGAAAAAGAAAACGCGUAACUGCACCGCUCGGAAAGGCGAAGGCGUCACUCUCACUCUCACUCUCACUCCAGUCCAGAAGCAUCUUUUCUUCGCAAUCACCCCACUCAUCUCUCUCGCUCCGACUUCUGGACAAUCUCCAAGGCCACAGGCAACAAAUUAACGAUCUGAUGGGGUAUAUCAUUGUGAUUUCCUUGCCUGUAAUACUAUUGUUCUUGAUCAUCGCGAUUGGAUGCUACCUUUUUGGAAAAAACCGUGGUCGUAGCGAAGCAACAACAACUCAGUAUUAUGGACCUCCCGCACCACCAUAUGGAGUGCAGCCUCAAGCCACUCCCAUUAAUAAUAAAUAGGUAAAUGUAUAGUGUUUACAACAUACAUACAUACAUACAUACAUACAUACAUCAUACAUGUUCUCUUAUAUUUGAUAAUUAUCGUAUACCCUGUACAAGUGAAUGGUGAUAAUUUGUUUAUAACCCAUGGGAUUUGUAAACAUUUUGUGUUCUAAUUAUAUAAAGUUUGAUCAAUAAGCCUUCGGUAGAAGGUCUCUGCUCAA
Cynara cardunculus var. scolymus (artichoke) is the source of this 559-nucleotide long non-coding RNA. RefSeq lists it as uncharacterized. The transcript is spliced from 2 exons. NCBI's taxonomy places the organism in Eukaryota, Viridiplantae, Streptophyta, Magnoliopsida, Asterales, Asteraceae. The record is from RefSeq and is a predicted model, not a curated record.